CCUCAACCCAUCAAAGAAGUAACUAUAAUGGAAGAGAAAGAAAGGGCUUAUACCCUAGAAGAAGAAGCUGUUUCAGUACAACGGGAAGAAGAAUAUGAGGAAUAUGAAGAAUAUGAUUAUAAAGAAUUUGAGGAGUAUGAACCAACAGAAGAAUAUGACCAAUAUGAAGAAUACGAGGAGCGGGAGUAUGAACGAUAUGAAGAGCAUGAAGAAUACAUCACAGAACCAGAGAAGCCUAUCCCUGUAAAGCCUGUCCCAGAAGAACCAGUUCCCACAAAACCAAAGGCCCCACCGGCUAAAGUUCCUGAAGUGCCCAAGAAACCUGUGCCAGAGGAGAAAGUACCAGUACCAGUUCCUAAAAAGGUGGAAGCUCCACCUGCCAAAGUGCCAGAGGUACCCAAGAAGCCUGUGCCUGAGAAGAAGGUGCCAGUUCCUGCUCCUAAGAAAGUGGAGGCUCCACCUGCAAAAGUGCCAGAGGUGCCCAAGAAGCUCAUCCCAGAAGAAAAGAAACCAACACCUGUUCCGAAAAAAGUGGAAGCACCACCACCCAAAGUGACUGAGGAGCCUGAAGAAGAGCCUAUUUCAGAAGAAGAAAUCCCAGAAGAACCACCUAGCAUAGAGGAAGUUGAAGAGGUGGCACCACCUAGAGUGCCUGAAGUGAUUAAGAAAGCAGUACCUGAAGCACCUACUCCUGUUCCUAAAAAAGUGGAGGCACCACCAGCUAAAGUACCGGAGGUGCCUAAGAAAAUUGUGGUAGAAGAAAAAGUACGUGUUCCUGAAGAGCCCAGAGUUCCACCAACUAAAGUGCCUGAAGUGCUGCCACCGAAGGAAGUGGUCCCAGAAAAGAAAGUACCGGUGCCUCCUGCCAAAAAGCCAGAAGCUCCACCUCCUAAAGUGCCUGAAGUGCUGCCACCGAAGGAAGUGGUCCCAGAAAAGAAAGUACCGGUGCCUCCUGCCAAAAAGCCAGAAGCUCCACCUCCUAAAGUGCCUGGAGGUGAAAAGAAAGUUCGCAAAUUACUUCCGGAACGUAAACCUGAACCAAAGGAAGAAGUUGUUCUGAAAAGCGUUCUAAGAAAAAGACCUGAAGAAGAAGAACCUAAAGUAGAACCU
Molecule: long non-coding RNA, 1110 nt
Filed under: Homo sapiens (human)
Lineage: Eukaryota; Metazoa; Chordata; Mammalia; Primates; Hominidae
Description: long non-coding RNA NONHSAT185973.1
Source: RNAcentral